AAAAAAGUAAUUUUUUUAACAGCACUUUCUACCGCAAUAACAAAGGGGCCAUAAAAUAACUUUGUUAUUGUUUAUGAAUAGUUCCAGAUCUUAAAAGCUUGCGUCACAUCAAAAAUCAAAACAAAAAUAGAAAUUUAUUUGUUCAUCUAUUUGAAACUAGUCCAACAUCGACUAUUGCUACAAAUUAAGACAAUUUUAUGUUAGCACUUAACUAAUAUAUUUAAAAAAAUAAUUUUUUCAAUAGCAAUUUUAACAAUAAUAACAAACACGACAUAAAAUAACUUUGUUGUUGUUC
Molecule: unclassified non-coding RNA, 295 nt
Filed under: Hevea brasiliensis (rubber tree)
Lineage: Eukaryota; Viridiplantae; Streptophyta; Magnoliopsida; Malpighiales; Euphorbiaceae
Source: RNAcentral